RNAcentral lists this transfer RNA (83 nucleotides) under Halomarina oriensis. It matches the Rfam family "tRNA". Rfam says of the family: Transfer RNA (tRNA) molecules are approximately 80 nucleotides in length. Lineage: Archaea; Methanobacteriati; Methanobacteriota; Halobacteria; Halobacteriales; Natronomonadaceae. The record is from Rfam by way of RNAcentral.
GUCGUGGUAGCCAAGCGGCCUAAGGCGCUGGGUUGCUAACUCAGUGGCGUCAAGCCUCCGGGGUUCGAAUCCCCGCCACGACG